GACGAACGCUGGCGGCGUGCUUAACACAUGCAAGUCGAACGGAAAGGCCCUGCUUGCAGGGUGCUCGAGUGGCGAGCGGGUGAGUAACACGUGGGUGAUCUGCCCCUUACUUUGGGAUAAGCCUGGGAAACUGGGUCUAAUACUGGAUAGGACCAUGCUGUAGGUGGUGUGGUGGAAAGAUUAGUUUCGGUAAGGGAUGAGCUCGCGGCCUAUCAGCUUGUUGGUGGGGUAAUGGCCUACCAAGGCGUCGACGGGUAGCCGGCCUGAGAGGGUGGACGGCCACAUUGGGACUGAGAUACGGCCCAGACUCCUACGGGAGGCAGCAGUGGGGAAUAUUGCACAAUGGGCGCAAGCCUGAUGCAGCGACGCCGCGUGGGGGAUGACGGCCUUCGGGUUGUAAACUCCUUUCAGCCAUGACGAAGCCCUUGUGGUGACGGUAGUGGUAGAAGAAGCACCGGCUAACUACGUG
RNAcentral lists this ribosomal RNA (469 nucleotides) under uncultured bacterium. RNAcentral's name for it is "partial 16S ribosomal RNA". It matches the Rfam family "Bacterial small subunit ribosomal RNA", at positions 28 to 507 of the family's 1533-position model. The record is from RNAcentral.